Molecule: ribosomal RNA, 301 nt
Filed under: uncultured bacterium
Lineage: Bacteria
Description: partial 16S ribosomal RNA
Rfam family: Bacterial small subunit ribosomal RNA
Source: RNAcentral
CAGUCGCCGCGGGAAUACGAAGGGUGCAAGCGUUACUCGGAAUUACUGGGCGUAAAGCGUGCGUAGGUGGUGGUUUAAGUCCGUUGUGAAAGCCCUGGGCUCAACCUGGGAAUUGCAGUGGAUACUGGAUCACUAGAGUGUGGUAGAGGAUAGUGGAAUUUCCGGUGUAGCAGUGAAAUGCGUAGAGAUCGGAAGGAACAUCUGUGGCGAAGGCGACUAUCUGGGCCAACACUGACACUGAGGCACGAAAGCGUGGGGAGCAAACAGGAUUAGAUACACCCGUAGUCCCUGUCUCUUAUAC